Acanthopagrus latus (yellowfin seabream) is the source of this 471-nucleotide long non-coding RNA. RefSeq lists it as uncharacterized. The record is from RefSeq and is a predicted model, not a curated record. Lineage: Eukaryota; Metazoa; Chordata; Actinopteri; Spariformes; Sparidae. The transcript has 3 exons.
AAACAGCCUUGCAUAAGUGGAGAGUCUCAACCCCCCCCCCCAAAAAAACCCUGUUUGUUAGCAGGGUGGGCUAAAGGGCUGCCUCUGAUUGUGUCAGGUGGCUAACGUUAGCAAAUGACCCAACACAUGAACACAGCUGCAAGCCAUCCAGACCCCAAGUCAGCAAACCAUGAGGCUCUCCCACCAGGUUUAGAGCCAGGACCUUGCUGGUACCUAUAUUUGAAUGUCAACACACUGAGUGGAUGACCUGACUCCAAUUACCCUCUUAAAUAAAAAGCCAUUAUACCAGGUGUUCAUGUACUUUUCCAUUCCAAGAUGUGGUCUUCCAUAAACAGAUGGAAAAUAAAUGUGCUGUUCAUACAGAUUUACAUAACAGUCAACAGUGGUAAGACACAAAGGACCCUAUUUAAAGGAUCUGGCACCUGGUCUGGAAAGCAUCGCACAGAUGCAUUCAUGGGAUGCACAAGUCAA